UACGGAGGGAGCUAGCGUUGUUCGGAAUUACUGGGCGUAAAGCGCACGUAGGCGGAUCUUUAAGUCAGGGGUGAAAUCCCGAGGCUCAACCUCGGAACUGCCUUUGAUACUGGGGAUAUCGAGUCCGGGAGAGGUGAGUGGAACUGCGAGUGUAGAGGUGAAAUUCGUAGAUAUUCGCAGGAACACCAGUGGCGAAGGCGGCUCACUGGCCCGGUACUGACGCUGAGGUGCGAAAGCGUGGGGAGCAAACAGG
RNAcentral lists this ribosomal RNA (253 nucleotides) under uncultured bacterium. RNAcentral's name for it is "partial 16S ribosomal RNA". It matches the Rfam family "Bacterial small subunit ribosomal RNA", at positions 524 to 776 of the family's 1533-position model. The record is from RNAcentral.